Molecule: ribosomal RNA, 31 nt
Filed under: Nervilia gammieana
Lineage: Eukaryota; Viridiplantae; Streptophyta; Magnoliopsida; Asparagales; Orchidaceae
Description: partial 26S ribosomal RNA
Source: RNAcentral
GCGACCCCAGGAUGGGCGGGGCCACCCGCCG